This 982-nucleotide ribosomal RNA is filed under the name Leptolyngbya sp. IPPAS B-1204. Its description in RNAcentral is "bacterial LSU rRNA". It matches the Rfam family "Bacterial large subunit ribosomal RNA", at positions 1189 to 2187 of the family's 2925-position model. Lineage: Bacteria; Bacillati; Cyanobacteriota; Cyanophyceae; Leptolyngbyales; Leptolyngbyaceae. The record is from RNAcentral.
GUGUACCGAAGCUGUGGGAUAUAUCUAUCGAUGUAUCGGUAGGGGAGCGUUCCGUGGUAGUUAGAAGCAUUAGCGAGAGCAGGUGUGGACGAAACGGAAGUGAGAAUGUCGGCUUGAGUAGCGCAAACAUUGGUGAGAAUCCAAUGCCCCGAAAUCCUAAGGGUUCCUCCGGAAGGCUCGUCCGCGGAGGGUUAGUCGGGACCUAAGGCGAGGCCGAAUGGCGUAGUCGAUGGACAACCGGUCAACAUUCCGGUACCGAUUUUGGAUUGUGCAGAGGGACGGAGAAGGCUAGCACAGCCGCAUGUUGGUUAGCGGUUUAAGCAUCCGAGGCGAUGAGAGACGGUGAAAACGUCUUGAGCGAAGGUGUGAGUACGAGAGUCUACGGACUCGAAGUGUGUGAUGUCAAGCUUCCAAGAAAAGCUCUAACCACGUUAAUCCAAAAUUGCCCGUACUCGAAACCGACACAGGUGGGAUGGUUGAGAAUACUCAGGGGCGCGAGAUAACUCUCUCUAAGGAACUCGGCAAAAUGGCCCCGUAACUUCGGAAGAAGGGGUGCCAGCGAGAGCUGGUCGCAGUGAAGAGGCCCAGGCGACUGUUUACCAAAAACACAGGUCUCCGCGAAGUCGUAAGACGAUGUAUGGGGGCUGACGCCUGCCCAGUGCCGGAAGGUUAAGGAAGUCGGUUAGGGGAAACCCAACGCUGGCGACCGAAGCCCCGGUGAACGGCGGCCGUAACUAUAACGGUCCUAAGGUAGCGAAAUUCCUUGUCGGGUAAGUUCCGACCCGCACGAAAGGCGUAACGAUCUGGGCGCUGUCUCGGAGAGAGGCUCGGCGAAAUAGGAUUGUCUGUGAAGAUACGGACUACCUGCACCUGGACAGAAAGACCCUAUGAAGCUUUACUGUAGCCUGGAAUUGGGUUCGGGCUUUGACUGCGCAGGAUAGGUGGGAGACUAUGAGACAUCCCUUGUGGGGGAUGUGGAGUC